CUGUGAGAUUACAUAUGCAUAUAGUGUUAAUGUUAUAAGAGUGUAUAUCAACUCACAAAGUUAUCAGGUUAAAUAGCUUUAUCAACUAAUAAAAAUGUUAUUGCAUAACUAAUAUUAUACUGUAUGUAGCCCCGCCACGAUAUCCAGCAAAAAUUAUUUUGCUAAGUAUCGUAGUAAAAGUUAAGAUAAAAAUUUUUUUGAGUUGUGCAACAACAUUAACAGUAAACUAUAAUACAAGUCUAUCUUUUUAAAAGUUUGUAUUGCU
This 265-nucleotide unclassified non-coding RNA is filed under the name Rickettsia aeschlimannii. Lineage: Bacteria; Pseudomonadati; Pseudomonadota; Alphaproteobacteria; Rickettsiales; Rickettsiaceae. The record is from RNAcentral.